RNAcentral lists this transfer RNA (72 nucleotides) under Sphaerodactylus townsendi. RNAcentral describes it as "tRNA-Ala". It matches the Rfam family "tRNA". From Rfam's summary of the family: Transfer RNA (tRNA) molecules are approximately 80 nucleotides in length. The record is from RNAcentral. Lineage: Eukaryota; Metazoa; Chordata; Lepidosauria; Squamata; Sphaerodactylidae.
GGAACCAUAGCUCAGUGGCAGAGCAUCUGCUUGGCAUGCGGAAGGCCCCAGGUUCAAUUCCCGGCAUCUCCG